GAUGAACGCUGGCGGCGUGCCUAAUACAUGCAAGUCGAGCGAACAGGCGAGAGUGCUUGCACUCUCUGACGUUAGCGGCGGACGGGUGAGUAACACGUGGGUAACCUACCUAUAAGACUGGGAUAACUUCGGGAAACCGGAGCUAAUACCGGAUAAUAUUUAGCUUCGCAUGAAGCAAUAGUGAAAGACGGUUCUGCUGUCACUUAUAGAUGGACCCGCGGUGUAUUAGCUAGUUGGUGAGGUAACGGCUCACCAAGGUAACGAUACAUAGCCGACCUGAGAGGGUGAUCGGCCACACUGGGACUGAGACACGGCCCAGACUCCUACGGGAGGCAGCAGUAGGGAAUCUUCCGCAAUGGACGAAAGUCUGACGGAGCAAUGCCGCGUGAGUGAAGAAGGUUUUCGGAUCGUAAAACUCUGUUGUAAGGGAAGAACAAGUACGUUAGUAACUGAACGUACCUUGACGGUACCUUACCAGAAAGCCACGGCUAACUACGUG
This 499-nucleotide ribosomal RNA is filed under the name uncultured bacterium. Its description in RNAcentral is "partial 16S ribosomal RNA". It matches the Rfam family "Bacterial small subunit ribosomal RNA", at positions 28 to 507 of the family's 1533-position model. The record is from RNAcentral.